CUGGCAGUAAACGAUGUGAACUUGGCGUUGGUGGGAUAAAACCUAUCAGUGCCGAAGCAAACGCGAUAAGUUCACCACCUGGGGACUACGGCCGCAAGGUUAAAACUCAAAGGAAUUGACGGGGGCCCGCACAAGCAGCGGAGCGUGUGGUUUAAUUCGAUGUUACACGAAGAACCUUACCAGGGUUUGACAUGCAUGUGGUAGAGAAGCGAAAGUGGAUCGACCCUUCGGGGAGCAUGCACAGGUGU
RNAcentral lists this ribosomal RNA (248 nucleotides) under uncultured Anaerolineaceae bacterium. RNAcentral describes it as "partial 16S ribosomal RNA". It matches the Rfam family "Bacterial small subunit ribosomal RNA", at positions 796 to 1041 of the family's 1533-position model. Lineage: Bacteria; Bacillati; Chloroflexota; Anaerolineae; Anaerolineales; Anaerolineaceae. The record is from RNAcentral.